GCAGUAGGGUGCCAUCAAGAGGUGUAUUUGGAAAUAUCCCUAAUACAGGAUCACUA
This 56-nucleotide ribosomal RNA is filed under the name Enterocytozoon bieneusi. RNAcentral describes it as "partial large subunit ribosomal RNA". Lineage: Eukaryota; Fungi; Microsporidia; Enterocytozoonidae. The record is from RNAcentral.